RNAcentral lists this ribosomal RNA (699 nucleotides) under uncultured Alphaproteobacteria bacterium. RNAcentral describes it as "bacterial SSU rRNA". It matches the Rfam family "Bacterial small subunit ribosomal RNA", at positions 8 to 753 of the family's 1533-position model. The record is from RNAcentral. Lineage: Bacteria; Pseudomonadati; Pseudomonadota; Alphaproteobacteria.
AGAGUUUGAUCAUGGCUCAGAACGAACGCUGGCGGCAGGCUUAACACAUGCAAGUCGAACGGACCCUUCGGGGUUAGUGGCAGACGGGUGAGUAACGCGUGGGAACCUACCUAUAAGUACGGAACAACACAGAGAAAUUUGUGCUAAUACCGUAUGUGGUCUUCGGAUUAAAGAUUUAUCGCUUAUAGAUGGGCCCGCGUUAGAUUAGCUAGUUGGUGAGGUAACGGCUCACCAAGGCGACGAUCUAUAGCUGGUCUGAGAGGAUGAUCAGCCACACUGGGACUGAGACACGGCCCAGACUCCUACGGGAGGCAGCAGUGAGGAAUAUUGGACAAUGGGGGCAACCCUGAUCCAGCCAUGCCGCGUGAGUGAUGACGGCCUUAGGGUUGUAAAGCUCUUUCAGUAGUGAAGAUAAUGACGGUAACUACAGAAGAAGCCCCGGCUAACUUCGUGCCAGCAGCCGCGGUAAUACGAAGGGGGCUAGCGUUGUUCGGAAUCACUGGGCGUAAAGCGCGCGUAGGCGGACUUUUAAGUCAGGGGUGAAAUCCCGAGGCUCAACCUCGGAACUGCCUUUGAUACUGGAAGUCUUGAGUUCGAGAGAGGUGAGUGGAAUACCGAGUGUAGAGGUGAAAUUCGUAGAUAUUCGGUGGAACACCAGUGGCGAAGGCGGCUCACUGGCUCGAUACUGACGCUGAGGUG